UACGUAGGGGGCAAGCGUUGUCCGGAUUUAUUGGGCGUAAAGAGCGUGUAGGCGGCCUGACAGGUCUGCUGUGAAAACUCGAGGCUCAACCUCGAGAUGUCGGCGGAAACCGUCUGGCUAGAGUCCGGAAGAGGAGAGUGGAAUUCCUGGUGUAGCGGUGAAAUGCGCAGAUAUCAGGAAGAACACCAAUGGCGAAGGCAGCUCUCUGGGACGGUACUGACACUGAGACGCGAAAGCGUGGGGAGCGAACAGG
This 253-nucleotide ribosomal RNA is filed under the name uncultured bacterium. Its description in RNAcentral is "partial 16S ribosomal RNA". It matches the Rfam family "Bacterial small subunit ribosomal RNA", at positions 524 to 776 of the family's 1533-position model. The record is from RNAcentral.